AGUGAACGCUGGCGGUAGGCCUAAUACAUGCAAGUCGAACGGCAGCACAGUAAGAGCUUGCCCUUACGGGUGGCGAGUGGCGGACGGGUGAGGAAUACAUCGGAAUCUACUUUUUCGUGGGGGAUUACGUAGGGAAACUUGUGCUAAUACCGCAUACGUUCUACGGGUGAAAGCAGUAGUUCUUCAGACUUUGCGCGUCUGAAUGAGCCGAUCUCGGAUUAGUUGGUUGGCGGGGUAAAGGCACACCAGGGCGAGGUUCCGUGGCUGGUCUGAGAGGAUGGUCAGCACCCCGGGACCUGGACCCCGGUCCAGACUCCAACGGAGGGCACCAGAGGGGAUUAUUGGCCAAUGGGCGCAAGCCUGCUCCAGCCAGACCGCGUAGGUGAAGAAGGCCUUCGGGUUGUAAAGCCCUUUUGUAGGGAAAGAAAAGCAGCAGGUUAAUACCCCGCUGUUCUGCCGGUACCCAAAGGAUAAGCACCGGCAAACUUCGU
This 491-nucleotide ribosomal RNA is filed under the name uncultured bacterium. RNAcentral's name for it is "partial 16S ribosomal RNA". It matches the Rfam family "Bacterial small subunit ribosomal RNA", at positions 29 to 506 of the family's 1533-position model. The record is from RNAcentral.